UCUAGGAGUUGAAAUUGUAAAAUUUUCAAUUUCUCUUUUAUAUUGCUUUAUUUUCACACCCUUCUCUUUAGAUGAAUUUUCAAGAAAAUUGUUGAAUUAUUCUUAUUUAAUUUUCUAGUCUUGUUAUCCUGCUUCCUUGUGGCAUGCUCAAGGAGAUUAGUUAGAGAGAUUACCUUUACUUUUUGAAUCGAUGAAGCAAUUUCUGAUGGGUGUAUAAUGGCUGCUAUAAAGUGCAACUUAAUGGAGCCAAACAUUAAUUUUGAGAAAUCACAUAUAAAAGGGGAAUGAAGUACCACGUAUGAAAAUCAAGGUAGUAUAUUAAGGCUUUCCGACAAAUUUAAACUUUAUUAUGAUUGUUGUCCCUUUUAAGUCUUGUACAUCAUCUUCAAGGGUAUAUUUUAUUCAGUACAAACUAUUCUUGAUUGUGAAAAUAAUGUACAACUCCCUCUAAUAUUUGCUUAUUUUAUUAUCUUCUUCAUGAUAUGAGGCACAUCCUACUUUGGGAGACAACAAUAGUACAAUUAAUGUAUUUCUUAAAUUUAUGUGCAUGGCUGGACCACUGUGUAUCACAAUUUUUAAAGAGAGCGAUUUGAAUGCUUUCAUUAGGCUUGAA
Capsicum annuum is the source of this 613-nucleotide long non-coding RNA. RefSeq lists it as uncharacterized. Lineage: Eukaryota; Viridiplantae; Streptophyta; Magnoliopsida; Solanales; Solanaceae. The record is from RefSeq and is a predicted model, not a curated record. The transcript is spliced from 2 exons.